CUCAAACUUGCUUGAAAUGUACGUAAAGAUUGGUGCUGUAUGUAUUUUUUAUGUAAUUUACAGAAUACCUUGAUAAAAAUCGCUUGGAAAACUCAGUGCUUUAAUGUAACUUAUCAGUGAAUUCAUUAUGCAUGCGACAAUAAGGGAGUUCAGUGAAGAAGUGUUAUAUAAAAUGUCGAAAGCAGGCUAUGUUUAUUCUUCAGUGCUCUGUCACUCGACGCACUCAACUCAUGUAGGAACGGGCUGAAUGCUCGCCGAUGUCUCGCAUUGUAGUACUAGCGUUGCCGGCGAUACGACGCAGCUCGGUCGACACCAGCAAAACAAUGUUAUCGAACUCGUAUCACUAUCAGAUAAUCAAAAGACGAUAAUAAUAACAUGAGUUUGUGGCGGACUUAUAUUUCAACGUAAAUAAUGCGUACAAAUCGCUAUAGACCGAUGUUGUGAGUGAGAUUCGUUAUGAUAUAUUUACAAAAAUGAGACAUGCAUCCGACCGAAAUGCAAAAAAGUGUAUCUGUGCAAGUAGAUAGUGAUUUUGCCCUUUUACUGCCCAGUGGUGCAUACGAAAUUAAAAAGAUGGAGCCACGGUCCAAGCUUCGUAAAGUGAUAUUGUUCUGUUUACUACUUUCACUGUUUGGAAUGGUGGCGUUUGGAUAUUUCUGUCCUGAUCAGGUGUGCGCCCUGUCUCCAAGGGAUAGAGUGUCUGAAUCUCUCGCGCUGAGCUAUGCGGAGGCUCCCGGGCGGCCUCUCCCAGACGUGAUGGCUCAGCCAGGGCUCUCGUAUGACGAGGUGCUGCAUGAUGACUUUCGAUUCGAUCUGAACGCACACGAUGUAAUGGUGUUCUUGCAUAUACAGAAGACAGGAGGAACGUCCUUUGGGAGGCACUUGGUUAUGGAUCUGGAUUUGAAGAGGCCGUGCAACUGUCAGCGGGCGCGUAAACGCUGCCAUUGUUUUCGGCCGCACAGCAACGAAAUAUGGCUCUUUUCGAGAUAUUCAACUGGCUGGAAAUGUGGUCUUCACGCAGACUUCACGGAGUUGACGGCUUGCGUGGGCGGCGAGCUGGACCGGCACGAGGGCUCGGCGGUGCAUCGCCGGUACUUCUACAUCACGCUGCUGAGAGAGCCAGUUGCCAGAUAUUUGUCGGAGUACCGGCACGUGAAGCGAGGCGCCACGUGGAAAGGCUCGCGGCACUGGUGUCAAGGGCGGACGGCCACUGCGGGAGAAGUACCACCGUGUUACACUGGAGAAUCUUGGCGAGGAGUGACUCUGGAAGACUUCGCGUCUUGCCCGUGGAACUUGGCGAACAACAGGCAGACUCGCAUGCUGGCGGACUUGGCGCUGGUCGGCUGCUACAACGGCACGCUGCGGCACAGGAGCGCUGACUCGGACCGAGUGCUGCUCGCGUCUGCCAAGCGCAACUUGGCUGCCAUGGCGUACUUCGGACUCACGGAAUUCCAGAAGAUAUCCCAGUACGUGUUCGAGGAGACGUUCAACCUGCGCUUCGCGGUCCCCUUCACCCAGCACAACGCCACGGUGUCGGGCGCCACGCUGGCAGCACUGUCGCCCGCGCAGGUGACGCGCAUCCGCCGGCUCAACUCGCUCGACCUGGAGCUGUACGAGUUCGCUAAGAACCUCAUGUUCAAACGGUACGCUAUGUUUGUUGUUAGACUCAUUGACUACAUCCCAGCACAACGCCACGGUGUCGGGCGCCACGCUGGCAGCACUGUCGCCCGCGCAGGUGACGCGCAUCCGCCGGCUCAACUCGCUCGACCUGGAGCUGUACGAGUUCGCUAAGAACCUCAUGUUCAAACGGUACGCUAUGUUUGUUGUUAGACUCAUUGACUACAUCCCAGCACAACGCCACGGUGUCGGGCGCCACGCUGGCAGCACUGUCGCCCGCGCAGGUGACGCGCAUCCGCCGGCUCAACUCGCUCGACCUGGAGCUGUACGAGUUCGCUAAGAACCUCAUGUUCAAACGGUACGCUAUGUUUGUUGUUAGACUCAUUGACUACAUCCCAGCACAACGCCACGGUGUCGGGCGCCACGCUGGCAGCACUGUCGCCCGCGCAGGUGACGCGCAUCCGCCGGCUCAACUCGCUCGACCUGGAGCUGUACGAGUUCGCUAAGAACCUCAUGUUCAAACGGUACGCUAUGUUUGUUGUUAGACUCAUUGACUACAUCCCAGCACAACGCCACGGUGUCGGGCGCCACGCUGGCAGCACUGUCGCCCGCGCAGGUGACGCGCAUCCGCCGGCUCAACUCGCUCGACCUGGAGCUGUACGAGUUCGCUAAGAACCUCAUGUUCAAACGACUCGGUGACCUUCUGCCUGCUGGAGCAAGACCCACUCGAGCGUGGCCUUCAGCAAACAGACAAAAGAUAGAACCUCUUUAGUGCCAACGUGCAUAACUGCAGCCUCCUAAUAUUACUGUGAUACAAGUUAGCUUAAAAAUGAUGAAUGUUUU
Bicyclus anynana (squinting bush brown) is the source of this 2460-nucleotide RNA transcript. It is a transcript of the gene named heparan-sulfate 6-O-sulfotransferase 2, with no coding region annotated. The transcript is spliced from 8 exons. The record is from RefSeq and is a predicted model, not a curated record. NCBI's taxonomy places the organism in Eukaryota, Metazoa, Arthropoda, Insecta, Lepidoptera, Nymphalidae.